RNAcentral lists this unclassified non-coding RNA (279 nucleotides) under plant metagenome. RNAcentral's name for it is "partial contains small subunit ribosomal RNA, internal transcribed spacer 1, and 5.8S ribosomal RNA". The record is from RNAcentral.
UUUCCGUAGGUGAACCUGCGGAAGGAUCAUUCAUAAUAAGUGUUUUAUGGCACUUUUUUAAAUCCAUAUCCACCUUGUGUGCAAUGUCAGGGUUGAUUUUUCUCUCGAGAGGAUCAACCCCAAACAUCAACUAUAUCUCAACUCUUUUUCUGAAAAUAUUUUUGAAUAAAAAAAUCAAAAAUAAAACUUCCAACAACGGACCCUUUGGCUCCCGCUCCGAUGAAGAACGAAGCAGAUCGAAAGAGCAACCGUCUGAAUCCCAUCACGGCGAACCAACCC